CGUCAUUGUAAAUAAGAAUUUGUUCUUAACUGACUUGUUAAAUAAAGGUAAAAUUGUAAAAAACGUAUAACUUUUUCACCGGAGAGACUUGAAUCAAAGAUGAGAGUCUAUCAAGAGACUCUUCCUGUAAUUCUUGCUUGCGCAAUGAAGAUUCAGGCAGAAGUCAAUGGAAAAUGUCAACAACAAACUAAAUCGCUAAAGAACACGUUUAUUUUGGCCUGUUUGAUGCAUCUUGUAUUGGAAACAUGAUGAUGUUAGGCUUCUGUCUUACCUCUGUCUUAUCUCUGUCUUAGGGCUGGCUAAGGCUUAUCUCUGUCUUAGGGCUGGCUAAGGCCUAUCUCUGUCUUAGGGCUGGCUAAGGCCUAUCUCUGUCUUAUCUCUGUCUUAGGGCUGGCUACGGCCUAUCUCUGUCUUAUCUCUGUCUUAUCUCUGUCUUAGGGCUGGCUAAGGCCUAUAUCUGUCUUAUGGCUGGCUAAGGCCUAUCUCUGUCUUAUGGCUGGCUAAGGCCUAUCUCUGUCUUAUCUCUGUCUUAUGGCUGGCUAAGGCUUAUCUCUGUCUUAUCUCUGUCUUACGGCUGUCUAAGGCUUAUCUCUGUCUUACCUCUGUCUUAGGGCUGGCUAAGGCCCAUCUCUGUCUUAGGGCUGGCUAAGGCUACCACACAUUCAUGGACGUUACCCUGUACAUAUUGUGUAGACCUGAUUUAUGGCAUUAUUUUUUGUUUUUUAAUAAUUAUUUUAUAUACACUGCUCAAAAAAAUAAAGGGAACACUUAAACAACACAAUGUAACUCCAAGUCAAUCACACUUCUGUGUAAUCAAACUGUCCACUUAGGAAGCAACACUGAUUGACAAUAAAUUUCACAUGCUGUUGUGCAAAUGGAAUAGACAACAGGUGGAAAUUAUAGGUAAUUAGCAAGACAUCCCCCAAUAAAGGAGUGGUUCUGCAGGUGGUGACCACAGACCACUUCUCAGUUCCUAUGCUUCCUGGCUGAUGUUUUGGUCACUUUUAAAUGCUGGCGGUGCUUUCACUCUAGUGGUAGCAUGAGACGGAGUCUACAACACACACAAGUGGCUCAGGUAGUGCAGCUCAUCCAGGAUGGCACAUCAAUGCGAGCUGUGGCAAGAAGGUUUGCUGUGUGUGUCAGCGUAGUGUCCAGAGCAUGGAG
RNAcentral lists this long non-coding RNA (1164 nucleotides) under Salmo salar (Atlantic salmon). Its description in RNAcentral is "lncRNA (ENSSSAG00000112956.1)". Lineage: Eukaryota; Metazoa; Chordata; Actinopteri; Salmoniformes; Salmonidae. The record is from RNAcentral.